CAGUCGCCGCGGUAAUACGUAGGGAGCGAGCGUUGUCCGGAUUUAUUGGGCGUAAAGAGCUCGUAGGCGGCUUGGUAAGUCGGAUGUGAAACCUCCAGGCUCAACCUGGAGACGCCAUCCGAUACUGCUAUGGCUUGAGUCCGGUAGGGGCCCACGGAAUUCCUGGUGUAGCGGUGAAAUGCGCAGAUAUCAGGAGGAACACCGGUGGCGAAGGCGGUGGGCUGGGCCGGUACUGACGCUGAGGAGCGAAAGCGUGGGGAGCGAACAGGAUUAGAUACCCCAGUAGUCCCUGUCUCUUAUA
Molecule: ribosomal RNA, 301 nt
Filed under: uncultured bacterium
Lineage: Bacteria
Description: partial 16S ribosomal RNA
Rfam family: Bacterial small subunit ribosomal RNA
Source: RNAcentral